This 253-nucleotide ribosomal RNA is filed under the name uncultured bacterium. RNAcentral describes it as "partial 16S ribosomal RNA". It matches the Rfam family "Bacterial small subunit ribosomal RNA", at positions 524 to 776 of the family's 1533-position model. The record is from RNAcentral.
UACGUAGGGUGCAAGCGUUGUCCGGAAUUAUUGGGCGUAAAGAGCUCGUAGGCGGUUCGUCGCGUCGGCUGUGAAAACCCGGAGCUCAACUCCGGGCCUGCAGUCGAUACGGGCGGACUUGAGUGUUGCAGGGGAGACUGGACUUCCUGGUGUAGCGGUGAAAUGCGCAGAUAUCAGGAGGAACACCGGUGGCGAAGGCGGGUCUCUGGGCAACAACUGACGCUGAGGAGCGAAAGCGUGGGGAGCGAACAGG